GACGAACGCUGGCAGCGUGCUUAACACAUGCAAGUCGAACGAAGAGCGAUGGAAGCUUGCUUCUAUCAAUCUUAGUGGCGCACGGGUGAGUAACGCGUAAUCAACCUGCCCUUCAGAGGGGGACAACAGUUGGAAACGACUGCUAAUACCGCAUACGAUCUAAUCUCGGCAUCGAGGAUAGAUGAAAGGUGGCCUCUACAUGUAAGCUAUCACUGAAGGAGGGGAUUGCGUCUGAUUAGCUAGUUGGAGGGGUAACGGCCCACCAAGGCGAUGAUCAGUAGCCGGUCUGAGAGGAUGAACGGCCACAUUGGGACUGAGACACGGCCCAGACUCCUACGGGAGGCAGCAGUGGGGAAUCUUCCGCAAUGGACGAAAGUCUGACGGAGCAACGCCGCGUGAGCGAUGACGGCCUUCGGGUUGUAAAGCUCUGUUAAUCGGGACGAAAGGCCUUCUUGCGAAUAGUGAGAAGGAUUGACGGUACCGGAGUAGAAAGCCACGGCUAACUACGUG
Molecule: ribosomal RNA, 510 nt
Filed under: uncultured bacterium
Lineage: Bacteria
Description: partial 16S ribosomal RNA
Rfam family: Bacterial small subunit ribosomal RNA
Source: RNAcentral